This 30-nucleotide non-coding RNA is filed under the name Mus musculus (house mouse). Lineage: Eukaryota; Metazoa; Chordata; Mammalia; Rodentia; Muridae. The record is from RNAcentral.
UGUACAUAGUGCUACCAAAGCCUUUGGGAG